GAAACAUCCUGGCGGGAUGAUGGCAUUCCUGCCACUGCCCUGCCAUUCGUCAGGAGGUUUUCAGUCAGUCGCAGAGUUUUUCUUCUACAGCUGAAGGUGACGCAUCUCCAAACCUAUUUGUAAAUCUUCCCUCCAUUUUUCUUCGCAUCCCGAGCUUCUUGGGCACAACUCUUGUUGAAGCACAAAAUGAAGACUGGAAGUGCCAGAACCUUUUUGUCAAUGGUUUCCAAAAACUAUGGAAUUUCCUGCCCAGCUACAUCAGAUCAGCCAACAACUUUGUAAUUGCUAAAAACAGCCUGUUGAUUUUCCUCCUAAGUGCUUCAGCUGGCCUGGCUGAGCUUUCUCUUUUCCACUGUCUUGAGAUGUUUCUCUCAUUGUGCACUACGCCGUAUUUUUAUGGUCAACAUAUCCUAUAGCAAACAAUUUCAGGCUGAUGGCGGAAGGGAGAUUGGAUUCAGAUCGGAGAUUUGAGCCCCGGAUGGGGAGCCAGGAACGCCUCAGUUCCUGGACCAGAUCUGCCACUAAAUCAGGAAUCCACAUAAAGCAAAGCCACAUGACGAGCAACUGCAGGAUGAUUUGAUUUUGUGUGCAGAGGAGGAAGCGAGUGUUUGAACACGGCUCUCGCCUUGGUGCGCCCGCUGCAACUGGAGCCGCCAUUACAGGGACUGAUCGAGGUGGAUGCAGUGGUCCCCGUCAGAUGUGUGCCAAAUUGAAAUGCCAGCAGCUGUGUGAGCAGCGGGAUAAUCAUAUCUGCUGCUUCUCUCUUCCAAGUCCUGGCAUUCCCAUUUCAGCAAUGGUGUGUCCGUGCUCAGCUCCGCGGGAGGAAAUCCAUUGACCGAAGCCAUGCUGACGCCUGGGGGAUGCGGUUACAUGUUCAUCAGUCACCUGUCUGACUGUGGACCCACUGGGUAGGGCGCUGGUGACUUAAUGCGUUGUUUUGCUUAUGGGGAUGUGAAAAAACAUAAGAGAACUCUGAUGGUUGAUCAUUUUUGUUGUUUCUUAUUUUUUUUCUUAUUUUUUUUUUCUUUUUUCUGUCUGAAUGGAGAAACAGCCAAAACUGUGCAGUGGUGUUCACCUUUAGCUUUCAAAAUAUUUAGAAGAUUCACUUAAUGUCAAAAUAAUCAUUUAAAAAGAGAGCUGGGGGGGAAAAAAAAAAAAGAAAUCCAAGAAAGAAAUGACGAAAAGAGGCUUACCCAGAAGCUUGCAAAUCGUCAGCUGGCUGAAUUUAUAUAAACUUUUGGGAAAUAUAGGAAAAUGGGACAAGGCGUCAGAUGGUUGGGUAAGAUUGAUGUAUUUAAUAGUUCAGUUAAUAUGGAUCAACAUCUGCAUUCUGUUACAUCUGCAUAAGCGCCUAACUUCAGUAGAGUUGUGCUGUUGGAACUGAAUUUGGACCAGUGUUUUUAAAUAGGCCCUGGUGCAGAAUCUCUGCCGAGAGCUCAGUGCUGCUGUGCCCGGUGGCGCUGCAGAGAGGGGGUAAUGCAAUCUGUUAGUGUUUCUCCUGUAAUUUUUAAAACAACGUUGAGAAGUAAUAUAUUUUUUUAUAAUAGGGUGCUCCCUGUCUCUUUAAGUAACUGUCAGAUGUAUGAUGUCCUCGUGCCAAAAUGCUACGGUCUGCUCCCUCUGAGCAAUUGUUAAUUAAAUCCAUCCCUUAUUGUAGAGCCUGCCUAGUCUCUUACCCGUUCUGCUUAUCUGUGACACCAGAUGAUGCUCGGUAAUUCAUGGCCAACGUGCUCCCACCUUCAGCAGGGCCUCCUGUGCACUGACCUUAGCCAGCUUCACCUUUUCCUUAUUCCCAAAGAGAAUGCAACCCUGGAGGCAGCAGUUUUUAUCAACUUCUCCUCCUGACCAGAUGAAGGCUCAGUGAUAAAUAAACAUCCUCCCACCCACCACAGCUCCCCAGCCCUCACUGUCUCCCACUGCCUGCAGGAUGCAGAGCAAUAGGAGAGCAAUGGACUGUCCUCAAAGAGGGCCAUGAGCUGCACUGCCAGUGGGGAAGAACUGCUUCUGCUCAUCCGGGUAAUGUCGCUGUGUUGGCUGAAAAGUCUCCACUUGGUCCUGAGCGGUGCCACCUGCAGAUCCCUGCACCCACUGGAACAAAAUAAAAAGGUGUCGUAUGUGGUUUCAUGGCAGCAGGGAGGUGACAGCACACAUGGGCUGAGAAGCAGAAAUCCCCUUCAACAGCAGAGACUAUCUCUGCCAGCAGGUAGAGAAGAGGUUGUUUGUCUGAAGAAAGAAGGGUGUGGUGGAAAUACUUCAUGCCAGUCAAGUCAACCAAAAUACUACCUGAGUUACAAAGCAUGCUGGAAAACAAAAUUAAACAGAAGAUCUGGGCCCCACCUGUGCUCUCCCAGGAGCGACUGAGAGAAAAGGAGUUCUGGGAGCUGGGAACACACAGCUCCCUGCAGCUGCACUAUGGAAUUCACCCUGGAUGAAUGGGAAUGCCAAUGUCUUCACCUCCUGAAGAGAGGACAGAGCUCUCAGACUGAAUUAGCCACAGCUGGAUAGGUUGUUUUGAAAUCUCCACAAUUUUCAGACCUGGAAGAUUUUUCCAUCAUGCUGGUCUGGGGUAGGCAUUUGGUGGGUGAGUAAACUAUAAUUUGGUUUGUUUUGCCUUAUGAAGUAAGUGUAGAAAAUACACCAAAGUAGCUGGUCACAUAUUUGGACCUGGGCUUCUCACGAAAGUUCUGCAAAACCCUCUCAAAUGUCUGAAUAUUUACUAAGUAGGUCACGAAAUAUUUUCCAACAACAAAAAUACAAAUACAAAAAUACAAUAGAGUAAUCCUAUUGGGAUGUAGUUAUGUGCUAAUGACUUUAUUUUCUUCUUCCUCCUGUUCAGGCAGUAACAUGCAAAGUGACCACAGCACUGUUGUGAAAUUGCUGAUUAACCUUUUGACUCUGACAAUUGGGACUUCUCUUAACACCAAUUGGUAAUGCAAAAGACCAUUAGUAGUUAAUAUUGGGACACCCCACCUCCAGAUGCCAAAAGGUUAAUGAAAAAGCAAGUAUCUUGCUUUUACUGGGAAACUUGGAAACCUUCCCACCAAACAUUUCAUUUUUUGUGAUAAACAAGCCAGACCGCUUCAGCUGAGAAAGACGGGUGUUUUGCUAAUGUGUACAGCUGUUAAUUGAAAAAGAUUCUGUUAUGCCUGUUCUUCUGGACAUAGAUAAAAGAGAGAUUUGUUGGUGAACUUUAGUUGGUCCUGAACACCCCUUUGUCAAAAUACACUGCUCAAUAAUAACGCUUUGUUCUGUCUGUAACAGCCACGGAAGGAUUUUGAGUGGAAUACUCAUUUUCUUUAAGUCAUAUCUGCCAGUGAUCAUUCUUGGCUUAAGAUCAGCUGCCAUUUAUGUGUUUUAUGAAAAUAUAACACCAGUUUUAUGCUCAAAACUAUUCUUUUUUAGGUAAAAGCUUCAGCACAAACUGGUUCCCCAUAUGUACCAUAAAUGCUAUUUAUCACAGGUUUUGGUCUUUAAAACAGAAUGAUAAUGUUAAAACAUUUUCAUUACCCUUUCCUUACAGCUAUCAUUCACAAACCAUCUUUUAUAAUUAUGGUACUAGGACAUUUACAUAACUGGGAAAAAGGUCCUUAAACUACAUUUCUAUUAUGUUUGGCACUUGUGUGAAAGGAUAUUAUAUUCAUGUGCAUUAGAGAUUGCUUAUAAAAGAUCAAGACAAUAAUAGCAGAUCAGACGAUAAAGGUUCCCUUUUCUCCUCCCAGACAGGCUGUCUCUGACAGAAGAAUACAGUUCAUCAAAAGUGUCUGCAGGUUGUCAAACUCAGUGAGAUUUGGGGACACUCGGAGGCUGUCAUGGCCAACAAGAAGAUUUUCUGUAGGGUUCUGCCAUCAUUCACCCUCAGGAAAUAAUCACUCACUACAUCCUGCAUGCUCUCAUGAUAGAGCUCUAUUUGAGAGAAAAGAGCCAUUUUAUCAAAGGACAAUAUAUCCCUUCUCUUGGUCCAUGCAGCUUCCAUUAUCAGACCAUAAUAAAUCAUAUUUAUGUUCUCAGUUAAUAAGACUGAUUACAAUGCAGGUUACAGGCAUGGGAAAAGCAAAGCAGGUGAAAAGAUGUUUUAAUGAAAAUAUGAUAAGCAAACAGCUUCUUGUGAACAUUUCAGGCUGUUAUUUGUAAUGAUCACAGGCAAUUUUUGAUACAUCUUCUUUAGCAAUGGUUUAAGCUGCAUAAAUUGGCUUGCCACUUUAUACGUCGAAAUAGGAAGAAUCCCAGUGUCCUUCUUAUGUUGUCUAGAAUCAUUAUAUACAUUAUAAGCAUAAAAUGAGUUUAAUGUAUGUGCUUUGAAAAGAUGGGGAAAACAGAAAAUCAGGGAGGACUGAUUUUAAUGCUGCUCAAAAUGAUUUUGAAAUUUUCUGCACAUCUUUGUUACUAACGGUGCAUUUUCCAUGAAAUUUAGGGAUGACAUGUGGUGCUUUCAUCUCCUUAAAAUUAAUAUACUUCUCUUUCUGUUUUUCUCAGUUUCUUCAAAGUUCUUUUUAGAACACUGUGCAAAGAGACAGAGAGAAAAUUCUCCACUCGAUGUGUGAACAUAUCUGUUAUUAAUGCUGGGGGGGAGUUAAGUGUGUGCUUCUAGAGGAGAAUAUACCCCUGCGUUAAACACUGAAAUCAACCCUAUCAAAAAGGUGCAAGGAUAUUUAGCUGCAGCACACCUGAUGCAUUCAAGGGCCAAAUUCCUUAGAAUCUUUUAAAGUGAUCAAGAUCUCUUUUGUUAAGAGCGCUCCAAUGAUUUCAGAAUAUAACUGUACUUAAGUAGCCGAGGAAGUGUCUUGCUCUUGUCUCGUGAAAAGCUUUCUUUUAUGUUUUAUUGUUGUUUUCUUUUUUUGCUGUAGUCAUUUGGUUUAUGUUUAGCAUCAUACUUUCAAGACAAAGUUAAAAAUUUAAAGAAUAAUUUCUUCCUGCUAGCACAUAAUGCUGACUAAGUAUUUCAAAAUCUACAGCACUUGCAGAAUGCAAGCAUUAUGCUUAUAAUGUAUAUAAUGAUUCCAGACAAUAUGAGAAGGACACUGGGAUUCUUCCUACUUUGAUAUAUAAAGUGGUGAGCAAACGCAGAAGUCUCCAUGGUGUUGUGUGUCUGCGGGAGCUGUUCUGGUCACUGAUACUUCUAAAGCUCCCUUAAACAAAUGUUAAAGCUUUGUAAUGGGCCUGGCAAUGGAGAAUGGCCAUGAAAUUCCCUUAACCCUUUUAGGGCACUUCAGCAGGAGAAGUGAUCACACAAGAAACAGUAAACUGCGCUUCAAAGGCAGCAUCCUGAUAUGACAACAGAUGUAGAUAAUGCACUUCAUGAUGAAACUGCUUGAUACAGAGAAAAACACGUUGUAACUGCCUUCACCCUGAAAGGGGUUUAAAAAUGCUGCCUGCCAACUCCACAAAAAACAGAGCUGCUAUUUCAGUUAAAGGCCGGUGGAUUGUAUUUUUCGUGUCAGUUUUCACUAACCUCAAACAUCACUGUUAUGACAGACUGUCAUCCAACCAAACCAGCACUGUGGUGCCAUUCAGGCAAGAAAGAAGAAAGCAAACACAAAGGAAACUUAGAAGUCCGAGCAGUAAGAGCGGGUGUCUGUGAGUGCACUUUUGUGCAGCGAUACUGAUUACUGAAAAUGAAACACUUAAAAGAAAACAAACCCAAAAAAGUGAUUUCUGAGCCAUUGGUGUUUUCUUGCCUGGCAAUUUCUCUUUGUUCUGUUUCAUGACAUCAGCCUCAGUGGUUGAAAGGGUGUUCUGGGCCAGAUGUCAAUCACUAUGUCUGACAUAAACAAAAAUAGCUAAAAAGACAUGCCAGCAUCUUCCUUUUGUUUUCCCAUUAGCUCCAUUUUUCUUUUCAGAGGCUGACAAAAAAUUACUGCCUCCGAGUGAAUUCAGUAAUGUCACUAUAUAUCUAAUAUCUAGGAGACCUUUUGUUUUAGCUUUACUGGGCUUAACCACAAAAGACACUUGACAUUGACAAAGAGUCUGUCAAAUACACAAUGAUCAGUGCAGUGAAAUCUCUCAUGACAGAAGGGCACUAUUCUGCACCCCCAGCCUGCAGCAGCCUAUCUGAGUAAAAUGUGCUGGAGCACACGCAGCAGCUGAACCAUUGCAGAGCAGGCCAUAAGCUGAGAUGUGUCUUGUUUAAAGUGUCAUAGUAUAUUAGUGUAAUUAAAACCGCCAAAAGAAUAGAAAAGAUAGAUGGAAAUGUUACAUUACUUGUUUCUAGAGAUUAACCUCCAGCCAGAACUGAAAUACAGAGACACAUUUUGCAUGUCUUAGAGCUCUGAUAUGGAAGAAAACAAGCCUGAGUGUAUGUCUCUUGAAGUGUGAGACAUGAAGUCAUAGUUCCUGUAUUUACACAAUAAAGCAGAAACAGCGCUUCAGACAGGCACGCUGUUUUCUCUCUGAUUACAGCUCCCGUUGUGGCUGUACUCUGCAAAGCAGCUGUAUCAUCUCUCAGCUACUUCCCUUUUACUCUCACUGCCUUCGUGCUUGGAAGGUCUUGAGACCCUUGGGCCCACAGAUGUGCUGGUGUCAAUGCCUUCUGCUCCCUCGGCAUCUGCCAGCGUUGCGUGGGCCCAGCCUAGAGGCAGAGCACCCUGUCCCUAUGGUGUCUGCAGAAGACACAGCUCAGCUCCAGACUCAGCAACACCCAGCUAGGAAGAUGUUUGAAGAAUGGCUUCAGUCUGACCUUUAUAUACCAGGCUGCAUGCUUGCUUCUCUGUUGAGUCUAUAGAUAAAACUGCAUGGCUUUCUGAAAUUGACUCUGAAAAUUAUGUUCCCAGAACUGCAUGUUUUCCUUCCCAUGCUUCAUUACCUCUGAUAACUAUUCAAGCCUAACUAGUUACGAUCUCUGUUCUAACCAUGAGGCAAGUUAUAUCUGGUGGUGAAAAACCCUUGGAGUUUUUAUGGACCUGUUCAGCUGUGUUGGCUGAACGUUGGUUUAUCCAGUAUCUGGAGAGGACCUCAUCUGGCUUCAGCAGUUCUGAAGCAUACAAAAGCAGCGUGGUUUUCUUCUAAUGUAAGCCUUACAUUCAAGGAGAAGAUGCAUUAAUCAGGUAGGUCUCAUGUUCAUUUCUUCCACUAGAAAUGAACUUCAAGGCCUUGCCCCAUUAGUUGAUCACUUUGACGUCAAGAGAUGUUAAAUAUAGGCCUUACAUUUUAGGUUUCCUCAUACUUCCUCUAUUUCCCAUCUUUAAAUAUCAGUUAAUGACUUCUCCAUAUAGCACUUCUCUUUAAUUUCUGGUCAGAGGCUGUAAAUGUGCACCGUUAGUCAAAAAUAUGUUAUCUGCUGUUAGUGUUGGCUUCUGGAGCCCUCACCACCAAGUUACCUCGCAGUCGCAUCUCUCCUCACAUGAUUUUCUGAGUACUGCCAGGAGAAGAAUGGAAAAUAACUAUGAAAUAAAAGCAGAUUCUGCUCCCAUUACAGGCAAUGAAAACUGUGCUUUUACUUCUACUUACUCAUAAUAGUGGGGGGAAAAAAUGAAGUGGAAACAAGCACAACAAAACACCUCUGCCAGCUAUCUAUAAGCUAACCAAGGCUUCCACUAAUGAGGUGGUCUGGCAUUUUGAGAAAGACAGGUUUUUCCAGAAAUGGAAAAAAUAUGCUGUUUUUUUUUUCCUUCAACUCUGAGAGCAUAGCAAGAGAGUAAGAAAUUGUAUUUCAAAAAGGGAUAGCAAACUUUUAAUGCUGUCUGUAUUAGUUAAUACUUACAGACACCGGUACAGUUUCUUGUCAGCUAGAUGUUUUUGCAUAUUUGUUUGUUAGAUUACUAAAUACUUUCCUAAAAAGUGGUUAUUUGCUGUAUUUACAGAUUCAUCUCAGUGACUGUGAAAUUCCUGAGGAUGUUAUUACUUUCAAGUCAGAUUAACGGAGUAAUUUCCAGUUGCCACCUGUGAAGAGAUUCCUACCUAUCCUGGCAGGCAAUUGUUCAGUCUUAUUGAGCUUCAAAUAACUUUACAGCUUGAAAUUCUGAACAACCAUGCUACCAGAAUACAUGAUACUACUCCUAAAGUGGACCUCAAAAACUUUGAGAAAGAAAAUGAUUCCAUCUUUUUUGAUCAGGUUCUUCCUCUACAGGAGUUCCUGCAGCUACAGGACCAGGAGAUGUCCGAGGUCAAGAAAAGGUUAAAGUUGUUCACUGCUUUCAAGCUCUGGCCUUAGAAGUUAAUUCAGUGCUGUGCUGCGAGAGCUACAGAGUAAAUCCUUGGAACAGUGAAUUGCUGGUUUGAUAUCAAGCUCACGUCAACAUUUCUAUCAGAAAGAAUCACCAUAAUCACCAGAUAUAUUAGCAGAAACUGCUCCUUCCCAUUGACCACAUACGCCAAAAUCCUUGGAAACUCUUAAGCCGUGGACUUCCCCUGAAGACAUACAGAGAAAAUGGCUCAAGCGAACACUCCUCCAUUCCUUCAGUGGAGCCCAGGUCAGCUGUGACAAGCAUCUGCUCUGUGGGUAGGUGCAAAAUACACGACAAAGAUAUCGGCCGUGGAUCCCUUCUGUAAACGAUGACCUCAUCCGGAGGUUAUGGGACCUUCACGAGGAUACCAGUCGUACUCCUCCAUGGCGAUGUGUUACAGUGAGUAACUCGCUUCCUGGAUGCACUUGUAACAGGCAGAUAUCCUAACAACACAGGAUACGCAGACAUGUCCAGGUCUUUAAAAAGUCUUCCAAUGCAAUUAUUAAGGUAUUACGUGCUGAUAAUGCCACCAAAAACAUUGAGCAUGCUGUUCAUUCAGUUGGGCAUGAAACUACUUCCUUCUGAAUAUUUUAAAUGUACUUGGCUAAUUAAUUAAACAAUUAAUAAGGGCUACAGUUAAGUUUCUGUUUUUCAUUGUAACAAAUUAUUCCAGAGCAUUGUUUUUACUGAAUUCUGCAUAGGACUCUUUUUGGACACCACACCGAAGUGCAGCUACGAUGUUAAAAGAAAAAUGUUCCUUUGACAAAUGAAAUCUUUAAAAUGGCAACAAGCAAGGAAAAAGUCAGCUCUGAGUGGAAAACAUUUAAUAUGUUUUGAUGAUUUCUUAUCUCAGACAGAAGAGAAGACAAGUUGAUUUUCUCUGCUGAAACUUUUUGAAGUGAGUUCUGACUGAAAAGAUGUGGUGGUGUUUUAACAAAAACAUAUUGUUAUAAAACAUGAUGUAUGCUCAGAAGUAUUAAUGUGUACCUCUCUGCUUCAGGUUUGAACAUUUCAGUCGAGUGAACUAGCCUGUUCCAUUUAUUUUUUAAAUUCUUAUCCAGUUGAUCUUUUUUUUUUGUUGUUCUUUAAGUUUACAGUAGUUCAAUGGCUACUUUUAUCUCUGAUUUAGGCUUUCAAACAGCACCAAACUCUGCCGUCCCAUCCUGUAAUCUGUCCAUUUAUUAUGGUGACUGGUGAACAGAGGCAACAUGUUAGUGCAAGCACUGUAAAAAUAUCUGUGGAGAAAACAUUCUUUCACUCUAAAGGAUAAGUUCCAUAAGAAUGUAUAUUCUCCAGUAUUUGCAAAAGUACGGUACGGAUUUUUCUUGUUAAAGGUGGCAAUGUCUGAAUCGCAAAUAAUUUCACGUUUAUAUGAGAGACAAUAUAUCAUUUUACAGAUCUGUAAUCAUGGAAAUCAAUGGCCAGUAUCCAUUUAAGAAAAUCGAAAUAAUUUAACUGAUUUACUUAAACAAUGCCUUGUUAGACUACGGAAUUUAAAGUCCUCUUUCAAAAUGAAGGUUGUUUUAAGUAGCGAACUUAUUAUUACAUACUACAUUCUAGUGGCACGUAAACACUUCUGAUUUAAAACAUGAAUUCCGUGUAAGUUCAAACUGAUGUCUUUGACUUUAGUUACAGAACUCAAUUUCAGGACUUUCUGCUGCUGGUGGCUGUAUAUCAGUUCUUCCAAUAGGGAUGUGCUCAGGACAAAUUAGUGAACGUAAUUUUAGCUGUAUGAGGUCAUUACAAAUACAGCCUUAGCUCUUCCUAGAGUGGACUUCAUUGUUAAUAUAAAUAUAUAUCUAUAGUUACUGACAUUUAUAUUAUUUGGCUCCUGUCCUAAGUUAUGGAUACAGUGAUGAUAAAAGCCCUUACCUAAGUGAGUCAUGCUUACUAAUUACUUCCAUGGUACUGGGUUCCUGUAAAUAAAGUUACUCAUGUAUUUAUAAGCAAGUCAAAAUUUAUACAUAUGUUUCUAAGAGUGAGUUAUCUUUCUCUCUGGGGCAAACAGCACAGUCUGCUGUUUGGAAAAGAAUGCUGAGAGUAAGGACAUCCAGGGUGCUUCCUCGCUUCUGCAAGGGUGCGUGCUCUCCUCUGCCAUUGGAUAUCCAACUAAAAUACUUAAUUUGGUCACAUUUUUUAAACUGUUUAAGACCCUUCUGCAUUACUUCAAGGUAGGAAAUGGCUGUUGAUUUUUCCUCGCUGUUUCCAAAGAGGCUGCGGUAAGAGGGUUUCAGUCUAAUUGUUUGCUCUAAAGAUGUAGCGUUCAAGACACAAAGCCUAGCAGUGUGACGUGGAAGAUAUCAAGACAAAGCAGCAGCCUCAACAUCUCUCUCUAAUGAGAACAGGAAAAGACAAUUGAGAUCCCGUAGGAAUGCAGUAUAUUUAGGAGAGAAGCAGAGCUCCUUUCACGAAUGGAGAGAGAACCCUGGUGAAUGCUGGACUACCUGCUAUCUCUGGGUGUGACUAGGUGAGUGAAGGAUUUGGAUCACAGCCUGUAACGUUUUCCAGACAUUUAGAGUGCAACUACUACAACUACUACGCCAGCAAUUUUAUGCCUUCCUUUCCCUGACUCCAACAGUAUGCGAGAUAAGCAGCCAGAUUUUCUUCUGCAUUGUGUUUUUUUAUCCAUUCAGCCAAAAUUAACAGUCUUCAAGGAUAAUGUAUGCCAAGCGAAUUUAAAUCUUGCGGACUCAAAUCGACCUAAAGUUGAUGGAUACAUUCAUGCCUACUGCUGAAAUCUACCAAUUACACAGAACUAUGCUAACUUACCAUAGAAACAUCUCAUCUAAUAGCACAGAUGAUGUUGAACUAACUAAUUACAUUAUGGCACAUAGACAAUGAAAAACAUAACGAAGAUGACAGCACAGCAACAACAGAUGCUGCACAAAAGAAAAAUUAGAAAAAUAUUGCUCUGCAAAAUGCUGUCUGUUAAGGUUUCUUCUGUUAAAAUUAAUCACAAAAAUUAGUGAAGAUUAGAUUUCAGCAGAAGAUACGAGCAUUGUAAUGCUAUUUGGAAAACGUCAUUAAACCAUUUAAAGUCCUACUCUUUCAGAAGGUAAUUCCCCCUUUUUUUUUUGUAUCACUGUCGGCUUUAAGAUGAGUAAACAGUUCAGUGCCGAUGGCAGAGUUUCUUGGGAGGAUGUCUUUCCCAGUGAGGAGAGGUCCCGAUGGCUCUUCCAGAGCCGUGUUUGGUAGCUUCCAGCCAUUAGAGCUUAGAUAAUUAGGCAACUCAGAUUUUAUUUUAGCUUGGCAUUUGCUCUGUUCUGUGCUCUUGGCUGUCAGUGACAGUUGAUUAUCUGUAGCGUGCCUUGUUACUUUAUAUAUUUUAAACUGUAACAGAUCCUAAAUACCAAAUCUGAAACUGCUGAGUAUGUUUAAAUGUAAUAUAUACAUGGGGAUUACAUCCAGAUGAUGUACUUCAUAGACCUGUGAUAAAAAAAAAUGCAUCACUUCUAGCCCACGCCGGUCCUCACCCCCUCCCCCGGUAGCUUUCCAUGAGCUCCCGGCUGCUUCAGCACCGAUCCUGAACGUAAUCCAGCUGAUGGAGAGAGACAGAAAGGGGCUUUUCCCCUAAAUAUAUAUUUCCUCUAAAAAUACCUCUGAUGCUGCUCAAGUUUCAAUACCUUACUGGCUUUAUAAGAAAGCAAAACAUAUAUUUGAUAUCCUGUUUCUCCCAGUUUAUUUUUCAGCUGGACUUUUCUUUCUCUUCAGCUGUUGUGCGGUUCCCUGGCUCCCUGCUGCUCGUCCGGCGGCGGCCGGGGUGCAGGCACGGCGGAGGCCCACAGGUGGCGGUGUAGUUCAAGCACACCUGGGCUGUGAUUGCAGAGCCGCGCUGCCGGCCGGCCUGCCGGGGAAGAUACUCUGCUUCUCCUGCCUGCAAGGAAAUACUCCCGGCUGAAGUUCCGCGCACCCGUGCCGCCGCGCCCCAGCCUUCAGCAGGGGCAGAAACGUUCUGUUGACCCUGCAACAGCGGCCGCGCACGAAGGUGCCGUUGGGUCACCCGGUGAGCGCCGAGCACGGCGAUGGCGGCGCCCCGAGCGCUGCGGCCACCUGCCCACAGCGGGGUCGCCCCUCCCGCCGCGCCCUGCUGUCCUGCGUGCAGCUGCCCGGCGGCGGGAACCAGCCCUGCCAAGUUCG
Molecule: long non-coding RNA, 12296 nt
Filed under: Gallus gallus (chicken)
Lineage: Eukaryota; Metazoa; Chordata; Aves; Galliformes; Phasianidae
Source: RNAcentral